Molecule: ribosomal RNA, 502 nt
Filed under: uncultured bacterium
Lineage: Bacteria
Description: bacterial SSU rRNA
Rfam family: Bacterial small subunit ribosomal RNA
Source: RNAcentral
GACGAACGCUGGCGGCGUGCUUAACACAUGCAAGUCGAACGGACGAGUGAGAUAAGUUUACUUAACUCACAAGUUAGUGGCGGACGGGUGAGUAACACGUGGAUAAUCUACCUGCAACACCGGGAUAACGCUGUGAAAACGGUGCUAAUACCGGAUACGUUCCCUUGUGCGCAUGUAUGAGGGAAGAAAGCUCAGGCGGUUGCAGAUGAGUCCGCGGCUGAUUAGCUAGUUGGUGAGGUAAAGGCUCACCAAGGCGAUGAUCAGUAGCCGGCCUGAGAGGGUGAACGGCCACACUGGGACUGAGACACGGCCCAGACUCCUACGGGAGGCAGCAGUGGGGAAUCUUCCGCAAUGGGCGCAAGCCUGACGGAGCAACGCCGCGUGGGUGAAGAAGGCCUUCGGGUUGUAAAGCCGUGUCUUAUGGGUAAGAAGUCAGUGACGGUACCAUAGGAGGAAGCCACGGCUAACUACGUGCCAGCAGCCGCGGUAAAAGUACUAGUAC